ACAGGGUUUCCUUUCGGGGCAUUGGAGACAGGUGGUGCAUGGUUGUCGUCAGCUCGUGUCGUGAGAUGUUGGGUUAAGUCCCGCAACGAGCGCAACCCUUACGGUUAGUUGAUACAUUAGGUUGAUCACUCUAGCCGGACUGCCGUUGACAAAACGGAGGAAGGUGGGGACGACGUCAAAUCAUCAUGCCCCUUAUGACCUGGGCUACACACGUACUACAAUGGCAGUCAUACAGAGGGAAGCAAAGCAGCGAUGCGGAGCAAACCCCUAAAAGCUGUCUCAGUUCAGAUUGCAGGCUGCAACCCGCCUGCAUGAAGUCGGAAUUGCUAGUAAUCGCGGAUCAGCAUGCCGCGGUGAAUACGUUCCCGGGCCUUGUACACACCGCCCGUCACACCAUGAGAGCCGGUAAUACCCGAAGUCCGUAGCCUAACCGCAAGGAGGGCGCGGCCGAAGGUAGGACUGGUAAUUAGGGUGAAGUCGUAACAAGGUAGCCGU
Molecule: ribosomal RNA, 495 nt
Filed under: uncultured bacterium
Lineage: Bacteria
Description: bacterial SSU rRNA
Rfam family: Bacterial small subunit ribosomal RNA
Source: RNAcentral